AUCAGGACAAACAUGGGGAGCAAGCAGGGCAUCGUUACUAAAUAUAUAUUGGGCACUAAUGAGAUCUGUCUUUGAUUAUGGGUGUAUAGCAUAUAUGUCAUCAGCAGAAUCUAAUGUUAAAGCAUUGGAUGUCAUGCAAGCUCAGGCUUUAAGGAUAUGUAGUGGAUCUUUUAAAACUUCCCCAGUGUCUUCUAUGCAAGUGGAAAUGGGUGAGAUGCCUUUGAGCAUCAGAAGGAUACAACUGAUGUUGGCAUACUGGGUUAAUGUGAGGGGACAAGUUGAUAGCCACCCAGCUAAAGCUAUCUUAAAAGAAUGCUGGGAACACAUUCCAAUAUCUCCUGAUUCACACUCCAGCCCAGUCGGUGGCGGUAAAUGCACCGUUAAGUUGGUUUGCCAACCGCCAAAAAAA
This is a non-coding RNA of Pimephales promelas (fathead minnow), 409 nucleotides long. The record is from RefSeq and is a predicted model, not a curated record. Lineage: Eukaryota; Metazoa; Chordata; Actinopteri; Cypriniformes; Leuciscidae.